AUGUCGUGGUGAGGAGGGAACAGGAAAGAAGACCAUGCUGUCAUGGAAACCAAAGAGGAAGUGUUUCCAGGUCGUAGGGCAUCUGUAUUGAGAGCUGUUGUAAAGGCAAGUAAAGGAAGAAGAGAGAAGCAUGAACGGACUCGACAAUGUAAGGCAAUGUGAUAAGAGGCAUUGACAGAUGUAAUACCUUGGUCCAGUGGGGAUGAAAAAUCCAAGUGGGGGCAUCACAACUGCACAGGUAGUUGGCAGUGAGGGUUUGUUUGGAUGAAGUCAGACAAUCAUCUGAGACCGAGGUGAUGAGAAGGCAUGGGUUUGUCAGAGGACUGAAGAGAGACAAGAGAUGAG
Long non-coding RNA from Peromyscus eremicus (cactus mouse), 345 nucleotides. RefSeq lists it as uncharacterized. The record is from RefSeq and is a predicted model, not a curated record. The transcript has 2 exons. NCBI's taxonomy places the organism in Eukaryota, Metazoa, Chordata, Mammalia, Rodentia, Cricetidae.